RNAcentral lists this ribosomal RNA (497 nucleotides) under uncultured bacterium. RNAcentral describes it as "partial 16S ribosomal RNA". It matches the Rfam family "Bacterial small subunit ribosomal RNA", at positions 28 to 507 of the family's 1533-position model. The record is from RNAcentral.
GAUGAACGCUGGCGGCGUGCCUAAUACAUGCAAGUCGAGCGAACGGACGAGAAUGUUGCUUCUCUGAUGUUAGCGGCGGACGUGUGACUAACACGUUGAUAACCUACCUAUAAGACUGCGAUAACUUCGUUAAACCGUAGCUAAUUCCUGAUAAUAUUUUGAAUCGCAUUGUUCAAAAGGUAAAGACGGUCUUACUGUCACUUAUAGAUGGUUCCGCGCUGCAUUAGCAAGUUGCUAAGGUAACGGCUUACCAAGGCAACGAUGUAUAGCCGACGGGCGAGGGGGAUCGGCCCCCCCGGACUGGAGACAAGGUCCAGACUACUAUGGGAGGCAGCAGUGGGGAAUCUUCCGUAAAGGGAGAAAGGCUGGCGGGACACAGCCGCGUGACUGAUAAGGGUACUGGGAUCGGAAAACUAUGUUAUUAGGGAACAACAUAUGUGUAAGUAACGGUGCACAUCUUGACGGUACCUAAUCAGAAAGCCACGGCUAACUACGUG